GACGAACGCUGGCGGCGUGCCUAAUACAUGCAAGUAGAACGCUGAAGAGAGGAGCUUGCUCUUCUUGGAUGAGUUGCGAACGGGUGAGUAACGCGUAGGUAACCUGCCUGGUAGCGGGGGAUAACUAUUGGAAACGAUAGCUAAUACCGCAUAAAAUGGAUUAUCGCAUGAUAAUCAAUUGAAAGGUGCAAAUGCAUCACUACCAGAUGGACCUGCAUUGUAUUAGCUAGUUGGUGGGGUAACGGCUCACCAAGGCGACGAUACAUAGCCGACCUGAGAGGGUGAUCGGCCACACUGGGACUGAGACACGGCCCAGACUCCUACGGGAGGCAGCAGUAGGGAAUCUUCGGCAAUGGACGGAAGUCUGACCGAGCAACGCCGCGUGAGUGAAGAAGGUUUUCGGAUCGUAAAGCUCUGUUGUAAGAGAAGAACGAGUGUGAGAGUGGAAAGUUCACACUGU
Molecule: ribosomal RNA, 460 nt
Filed under: Streptococcus sp. oral taxon 071
Lineage: Bacteria; Bacillati; Bacillota; Bacilli; Lactobacillales; Streptococcaceae
Description: bacterial SSU rRNA
Rfam family: Bacterial small subunit ribosomal RNA
Source: RNAcentral